UCCACCCGUGCUGUAGGGCAGCCUAUCUCUGUGCAUGUGUCUGCGCUUUUCGUUGGCCGCAGCUUCUUCUCGGGGCUGUAGCAGCGGAAAGGCGAAGAGCCGUCGCCGUGGAGGAUUUGGGAUGGGACGGGAGAAGGGAUGCGACGCGUUUUACUUUCCGUUUUCCGGUCUGUGCUGAUCCCUUUUGCAGGACGACGGCACAGUGACGCCGAUGACACUGCCCUAUGGUGCUUCCGUGGAGUGCGUGUGGGGGGUUUCACAGCUGAUAUGGCUAUGUGAAUCCAUCAUGGUGUCCACCACCUCCUGCGCCGCACACAUGAGCGCACAGAAUGAGGUGUGGUGGGCUGCUUCUCUCCUUAUCCCCCUCCAGCGCUUAGGCUGGAGCGGCUCCACCACAAGAACACGUGAGGGCCGCUCGCGAGGGGAGGGGACUGCAAGAGCGAGAGCAGAGGAGCGAGACGAGAGCGCCGGAUCAGUUCCACUUCGAGGUUCGUUGUGUUCGCUAGUCCGCUGAUUCAGUGAGAGGGCUGCUGCAGGAGAGAAGAGGAGAGGCCGAGAGUAUGGAGGCGGGGGAGACAAACGCCUACUUUUUGAUGCAGCUCCUCUCCCCCCUCGUGCAUCCAUGUAGCUCCUCACGGGCGCUCACGUCAACUGCUCUACUCGGAGACAGUUGACCGACCGUCUCUACUUCAUUUAUUUGAUUUUAUCCCGUGAAGUGGGUGGCGCAUGUCGUCUCUCGCACACUUCAUGGACUACGUGCAUGCCGUGAGGGACACGUGUGCACGCCUGUGCGAACGCACUCGAUCAGCGCCUCGGCGAAUGCAAGAGCGAACGAAGCAAGAAAAUAAUGUCAACACCGAAUUUAGUGACCUCUGUGUGUUUGUGCGUGUAGGGGGUGUGCACCAGCAAGAAAUCUAAGAAGGCAGGGGAAGGGGGAAGAGGAGACGAACUGCUGCCGUCUGUUGCGUGGGUGCACCCUGCGCACCUCAUCUCUCUCUUUUCGUUCCUUCAUCAUGCAUUGCUGCCCAUUUGUGUGUACCGAUGCGUGCAUGGUCCCCUGCCUUGUUCUGUUGCCCCGCUGCCCUCCUAGCCCAGAGCGCUUUCUCCGCCACCUCCGCUGUCUUUUGUGCUAUUAGUAACACCAGCUUUCCACAAGUUUGCGCCGGCACGUUCACGGCGGCGGUGCACGACACGUCCAUCUCAUCGUCUCAUCUGCGUAGUGGUGGCUGCCUUCCGUGCGUUGUUACGAUUGCUUCAUGUAUGCUGUCGCCGCUCGAUGCCGUUCGCUUUCUGCGUCUCCUUCUUCUUCCUGCUUUUCUCGCUUCCUCUGCUGGCGUGGGCCGAUGCGCUCCGAGUCCUUCUUGGCCUGUGCGUUGAGUGUCGGGUGGCCUGCGUAGCGCCUUCAUUCUCUUUAUCUAUGCUUUUCCUGAUGCCGCCUAUCGUUUUCACGGCUCUGGCGGGAAUGCCUGUAGAGUGUCUUCUUCCUUCGUCACCUGUUUAUUUCCCCAGCAGGUUUUUCUUCGUUUCGAUACCAUGCCUCAUGCGCACCUGCGCGUGCGUGGUUGAUGGAGAAGAAAUUAAAAGGCGAGCGGGAGUUGGCAUCGAUGUACCGGUUUUGCCUUUCGAGUCCCACACGCACGCGCAGAAGCGUCAUCGCGUGUGCGCGUGCGUGUGGGCGCUUUCAUCUGCUUCCAUCCCUUCCCAAAAGUUCAACGGCCGCGCUCGCCAAUCUCACCUCGCUUCUCUCUCCGCCUCCUCCCCUCCUCCGCGGCUUUCCUUCGGGCCCCGCCUCGAUGGCGUACCCGCACGUCUUUUGCUCUCGCUGUGGCAGGCGUGCCGGAACGAGGUGUAGGGGCGAAGCGGUGGAGAGGACGAGAAAGAGAACGGUGACUUCUUCUUAUUCCGUAGCCCAUGGUGGAUGCCAGAGGCACAAAAACACAAGCGCUGGCCGGGGGCCUCGCCGUUGUCCCUAUUCGCUUAUUUUGUUCAUUGCGAAAUCGCCGCUGUGGUUUUCCAGACCUUCAGGCAACAGCCCCAAAACCCCGUAAGCGGCGCAGCGGAAACACACAAGAGACUCCCUUUGCCCUCUGGGAAGCUUGCCGUUCUGCUUCUCUGGCGAGUUGCCACUUCAGCGUCUCGACGCGUCGGGGCUUCAUGUGCGUCGCCCCGACGUCCCUCAGCGCGACGGUGGCAAAAGGUGAGAAGCAGAACAUGGUAAGAGGGGUUUGUGACUCUUUAUGUGUGCGCCGCCCUACGGCACUCCUCUGCUCCGCUUGCCACUGUUCAACAUAUCUGCUCUUCUGCUUCGUUCUCCAG
This 2316-nucleotide unclassified non-coding RNA is filed under the name Leishmania donovani. Its description in RNAcentral is "gene:unknown". Lineage: Eukaryota; Euglenozoa; Kinetoplastea; Trypanosomatida; Trypanosomatidae. The record is from RNAcentral.